RNAcentral lists this long non-coding RNA (244 nucleotides) under Panax ginseng (ginseng). Its description in RNAcentral is "long non-coding RNA (PGIN_LNC013793)". Lineage: Eukaryota; Viridiplantae; Streptophyta; Magnoliopsida; Apiales; Araliaceae. The record is from RNAcentral.
ACAAUUAAAAAAAUCAGGCAGCACUGCCUUGCAGCUGCGCUGCGCUGCAGUUUGGGCUGGGUUAAGCACAGCUGCGCCGUCCCCUUGCCAAACCAGAUUUGAUUUUUUUUUAUUUCUUAGUUUACACCUCAUUUUCUUAGCAUGAAUACUAACGCAUAAAAUAUACACACGUUAAGAGGUAUUGGUGCCUCUUGUGUUUACUUUAAUUUGUUUUUACACUUUAUAGUCUCAUUGCCAUUUAUUU